This 484-nucleotide ribosomal RNA is filed under the name uncultured bacterium. Its description in RNAcentral is "partial 16S ribosomal RNA". It matches the Rfam family "Bacterial small subunit ribosomal RNA", at positions 29 to 507 of the family's 1533-position model. The record is from RNAcentral.
AUUGAACGCUGGCGGCAUGCUUUACACAUGCAAGUCGAACGGCAGCGCGGGCUUCGGCCUGGCGGCGAGUGGCGAACGGGUGAGUAAUACAUCGGAACGUGCCCAGUAGUGGGGGAUAGCUCGGCGAAAGCCGGAUUAAUACCGCAUACGACCUGAGGGUGAAAGCGGGGGAUCUUCGGACCUCGCGCUAUUGGAGCGGCCGAUGGCAGAUUAGCUAGUUGGUGGGGGAAAGGCCUACCAAGGCGACGUUCUGUAGCUGGUCUGAGAGGACGACCAGCCAAACUGGGACUGAGACACGGCCCAGACUCCUACGGGAGGCAGCAGUGGGGAAUUUUGGACAAUGGGCGAAAGCCUGAUCCAGCAAUGCCGCGUGUGUGAUGAAGGCCUUCGGGUUGUAAAGCACUUUUGGCGGGAACGAAAAGGACUGUGCCAAUACCACGGUUCGAUGACGGUACCCGCAGAAUAAGCACCGGCUAACUACGUG